RNAcentral lists this non-coding RNA (23 nucleotides) under Cricetulus griseus (Chinese hamster). The record is from RNAcentral. Lineage: Eukaryota; Metazoa; Chordata; Mammalia; Rodentia; Cricetidae.
CAGGUUGGAGAGGGGAGUAGUGU